UACGUAGGGGGCAAGCGUUGUCCGGAAUCAUUGGGCGUAAAGCGCGCGUAGGCGGCCCGGUAAGUCCGUUGUGAAAGUCAAAGGCUCAACCUUUGAACGCCGAUGGAUACUGCCGGGCUAGAGUCCGGAAGAGGCGAGUGGAAUUCCUGGUGUAGCGGUGGAAUGCGCAGAUAUCAGGAGGAACACCAAUAGCGAAGGCAGCUCGCUGGGACGGUACUGACACUGAGGCGCGAAAGCGUGGGGAGCGAGCAGG
Molecule: ribosomal RNA, 253 nt
Filed under: uncultured bacterium
Lineage: Bacteria
Description: partial 16S ribosomal RNA
Rfam family: Bacterial small subunit ribosomal RNA
Source: RNAcentral